UGGGGAAUAUUGGACAAUGGGGGCAACCCUGAUCCAGCGAUGCCGCGUGAGUGAUGAAGGCCUUAGGGUUGUAAAACUCUUUCAGGGGUGACGAUAAUGACGGUAGCGACAGAAGAAGCCCCGGCUAACUCCGUGCCAGCAGCCGCGGUAAUACGGAGGGGGCAAGCGUUGUUCGGAUUUACUGGGCGUAAAGGGCGCGUAGGCGGACGGUCAAGUCAGAGGUGAAAGGCCCGGGCUCAACCUGGGACGUGCCUUUGAAACUGAUUGUCUUGAGUGCGGAAGAGGGUGACGGAAUUCCCAGUGUAGAGGUGAAAUUCGUAGAUAUUGGGAAGAACACCGGUGGCGAAGGCGGUCACCUGGUCCGCAACUGACGCUGAGGCGCGAAAGCGUGGGGAGCAAACAGGAUUAGAUACCCCGGUAGUCC
This 424-nucleotide ribosomal RNA is filed under the name uncultured prokaryote. RNAcentral describes it as "bacterial SSU rRNA". It matches the Rfam family "Bacterial small subunit ribosomal RNA", at positions 355 to 796 of the family's 1533-position model. The record is from RNAcentral.